Molecule: ribosomal RNA, 521 nt
Filed under: uncultured bacterium
Lineage: Bacteria
Description: bacterial SSU rRNA
Rfam family: Bacterial small subunit ribosomal RNA
Source: RNAcentral
GGACGAACGCUGGCGGCGUGCCUAAUACAUGCAAGGUCGAACGGUCUUUCUAUGGAAGCUUGCUUCCACUGAGAAGAUAGUGGCGAACGGGUGAGGUAACACGUGGGUAACCUGCCCGAUAAGAGGGGGAUAACAUCCGGAAACGGGUGCUAAUACCGCAUAGUUUUCUUGAUCGCAUGAUUGGGAAAGGAAAGACGGCCUUUGUGCUGUCGCUUAUGGAUGGACCCGCGGCGUAUUAGUUAGUUGGUGAGGUAACGGCUCACCAAGACGAUGAUACGUAGCCGACCUGAGAGGGUGAUCGGCCACAUUGGGACUGAGACACGGCCCAAACUCCUACGGGAGGCAGCAGUAGGGAAUCUUCCGCAAUGGACGAAAGUCUGACGGAGCAACGCCGCGUGAGUGAAAGAAGGUUUUCGGAUCGUAAAACUCUGUUGUCAGAGAAGAACAAGUUGGAGAGUAACUGCUCCAGCCUUGACGGUAUCUGACCAGAAAGCCACGGCUAACUACGUGCCAGCCGCCGC